Athene cunicularia (burrowing owl) is the source of this 1885-nucleotide long non-coding RNA. RefSeq lists it as uncharacterized. The transcript is spliced from 3 exons. The record is from RefSeq and is a predicted model, not a curated record. Lineage: Eukaryota; Metazoa; Chordata; Aves; Strigiformes; Strigidae.
AUGGAACUAUCGCUAUUUCCUACUCAUUUCCUUAGAGGCAGAAAUCAUCCUGAAUGUUGACUUGUGAAUGUAGCUAUCUGUGUCUAACUGCAUUUCAGAGCGGCAGCGCUGGCAGAGAAAGGAAACUGUGUCCUGAUUUCAGAGGCAGUCUGUACAUGCAUACAGUUUGAUGGUUUUGGUGUGUAGGUUUUGAAUCUGUGUUUAUGCAAGUCUUCCUAGUUAAUACUGAAACAGCACAGGGAUCACUAGCCAAAACAUAGGAGCUGCCACCUAGGAUCAUACUGAAUAGUGGGCCCAUUUUCUACAUUACACCAAUUUUAGGUAGCUGUCUAUGCCCAACCUGUUUUCCUUGUAUAGAAUUUAGAGAUGGGCACUUUUUAGGAUCUGAUUUGCCAUUAUUUUCAAGGGUAAUAAGAUGCCUAAAUAAACUCCUGAGAUUCUGGAAAUUUGUCACCAACUCAUAGAAGCACUUUAGCUUCACUUAACACUUCACACAUUUAGGUUUACUUUGGUAUGCCUUGUUGUGUUUGUUACUCUUAUAUCUUAAGUUUAGCAGGUAAUUGAUUUACUUCUCUCCCUUUGGAUUAUUUAAGUUUCUUGUGAGCUGCCUUAUAGAAUAGAACAUAAAAUGCAUUAAAAAGGGACAUUGUGGGCAUUAAAAAACAACAAAAAAUUAAAAUCAGGAAGUUGAGAGGGUCAAAUGAGUCAGUAGAAAAACUACAGCCACUCCUACCUCUAACCAUUUUAACUGUGUAUUGUUCCUACAGAUUUGAACUCUCUAAAACAGACAGCUCAUCUGAAUUUUUAAUACAGUCUUGGUUGCCAGGAAUUGUUACUUAUCUGCAAAAUUUUGCUGGACUUGAAUGUACUGAAUGUCUGAACUGAAUGACUGCUGAAAACACAUUGCUUGAAGCAAGCUGAUAAUACAUGUCUCCAGGGUGGAAAUGACAGCAGACAUAUUGGGCUGAGGAGGAAGAAAAUAAGAGCUAUUGGUUUUGAGUUUAGAUUCUGGAAGUUAAAGACCCACUCACUGAGAUAGCUUUUAAUUUGGAUCUAUAGUCAAUUCGUGUAAACGUUCAGCUCCAGAUCUUGCAAUAUAACUUGAAUGCCUGGACACUCUAAGAAGCUUUUUCCCACCACUUUGUGAAAACAAAAUGUCGAUUGACAUGAUAUAUCACUGAACACAGUUCCAAUGAUGGCUAUGACUUAGAUCAUGUUGUGUUCAGUGGCAUGCUUACACUCUCAAAACACAGCCUCUGUAACUAAUAGGUGACAGAUGGGACUACUCAGAAAGUUUUUCCCCUAGGCUUUCCUAUAUACGUGGCUUUUCUUCCCCAGGGAUCAGAGAGGUAUUUAGCGUUAAAGCACUGCUGAAAUUCUCAGAAGUGAUUUUUACUAGGUAACGAUUUCAGUGACAUUGCUUUUCUUCAAGACUUGUGGCAUUGUCCUACAGCAUGCAUUACUCAAUGUUUGUUCAUACUAUUGUGGUAGGUUAAUUGCCAUGGUGAUUGUUCAUUUUAGUGUAGGUUGCAUACAUUUUUCAAGAAUCAACAAGGUUUGCCUUUUGUAUUUGUAUUAUUUCACUAUCUACAUAGUCUUGCAAAAUUCUAUUACAUAAACUCCCUUUUUUCUUUUCUGUCAACAACAUGGAUCAUCUGUAGAAUCACUAGUAAAUUCUCACCAACCUUCAGUUCAAUGUCAACCACAGCUCAGGUCCGCCAGACAUUUCUGAGUAAUGAAAAGCACAUAAAAUGUUGAUCUAUGCCUGUUUGAUAUGCAUACAUAUAUACAGAUGUCUAUAUAUACAUAUGUAUUUGCUCUCUCUGAACUAAUUGUUCAUGUCGUACUUCAUUCUUAAAGAAACAAAUGACUUCUGAGAGAUGUA